UUUCUUAUACCAAACGAGCUACGAAGAAAGAGAAAAUCGGUAAAAACUAUGAUAAAUCAAGACAUUAUCACAAGUCAUUUAAAUCAAGUGGUCGUGGAAUCUUAUAAGGCGGAGAGAGUCCAAAGAGGCAUCUUUGUAGAUAAAUCCUAUCGAAUGAAUACCUUAAAACCCUCUAAACUAUCACGUUUUUUGUCAGUUACUUACUUAAAUUAUUCGGUGUUUCUAAAAUCCCCCAAAUUAUAUAUACCUAUAUAUUAAAAAAUUAGAAAAAAAGGUAUGAUAUAUUCCUUUACUAUUACAAAUUAUUUAAAAUUAUCCCUAUUAUCUGUCCUUUCGGACAGGGAUAAGGCUCGUCUACAUAUUACCCUCCUCAGAGCCCACCUGGUGGGAAUAUACUGGGUAGUUGUUGUUGUUGUUGUUGUUAUCCCUAUUAUACUAUCGGAACAUAAAAUUCCUUACCGUCUUACUAUCCGCACAUAUUUAUCCUUAAGUAGACGGAGGGGAUACGUGACACUCAUAUGUGCCUUUUUUACAUCUGGUAAUAUUAGACUCGACCCCAUCCAUAUUGCCGCUUACCCAAACUCGUAAAAACCAACAAGCAAAUCCAAGAAUUUUAGUGGGAUCCGGCGAGGUUCUAUUUUCCCCCGAACUUCAAAAAAUACAAAAGCUCUGAGUUUUUAGAUCCAAUAAAUUGGACAGAAGAAAAUGAAGGAAGGGGGUAAGGCAAGUGGUAUUUUUUUAGUUUUUGAAAAAAAUAACAAAAGUAAGGUAGUGGUGUUUUGGUCAAGAUUUGUAGGAGAUCUUGCCGGUUUUCAUGGUGGUUAUAAAAUGAAUAAGGAAAACAAUGAGAGAGAGUUGAGAUAGUCAGUGGUGUUGGCUUUGUGAAUUUUUCGGCAAGUUUCACUGGUUUCAUUUGCUUAUUUGGUAGAACGGGGUUGCUGUUUGGAUGAUGGAACACGAAGAAAAAGAAGAAUAGUUUUUGAGUUAUAUUUUACAGGUUUGGGUAUCGGGUAAUAUGGUAUCGAGUCGAGUCUAAUAAUACCAGAUAUAAAAAGGCACAUCCCCUCCGUUCAGUUAAGGAUAAAUGUGUGCGGAUAGUAAGACGGCAAGGAAUAGUCUGAUAGUAUAACGGGGACAAUUUUAAAUAAUUUGUAAUAGUAGAGGAAUAUAUUAGACCAUUUUCCGAUUAAAAAAAUUUUUGUCGAAUUUUUUA
Molecule: long non-coding RNA, 1213 nt
Filed under: Nicotiana benthamiana
Lineage: Eukaryota; Viridiplantae; Streptophyta; Magnoliopsida; Solanales; Solanaceae
Description: long non-coding RNA (NBEN_LNC005627)
Source: RNAcentral